CAGCCGCCACGGUAAUACGUAGGGUGCAAGCGUUAAUCGGAAUUACUGGGCGUAAAGCGUGCGCAGGCGGUUUGUUAAGACAGAUGUGAAAUCCCCGGGCUCAACCUGGGAACUGCAUUUGUGACUGGCAAGCUAGAGUGUGGCAGAGGGGGGUGGAAUUCCGCGUGUAGCAGUGAAAUGCGUAGAUAUGCGGAGGAACACCGAUGGCGAAGGCAGCCCCCUGGGCCAACACUGACGCUCAUGCACGAAAGCGUGGGGAGCAAACAGGAUUAGAUACCCGUGUAGUCCCUGUCUCUUAUAC
RNAcentral lists this ribosomal RNA (301 nucleotides) under uncultured bacterium. RNAcentral's name for it is "partial 16S ribosomal RNA". It matches the Rfam family "Bacterial small subunit ribosomal RNA", at positions 509 to 807 of the family's 1533-position model. The record is from RNAcentral.